ACUUGAACGGUGAACACAUGGUGAGUGAACAGUGAACGCAUAGUGAGCGAACAGUAAAUGCACUCAGAGCAAAUGCUGAACGCAAUUUGGCGCACGGUGAACGUAAAGUGAACGGAAGUGUCAUAUUGUCAUUUUGGUGGGGGCCAAGUCAGAAGCAUCAGUGUAUGUUCGAUGCUUAUGUUGCCUCAAAGGAUAUGAUAGGGUGUGGUUCAUUUAACCGAAAGGAAUUUCUAUCAGGACAGCAGAUCACAUUAUAUUUUAGUUGCCUCUAUGCCAUUGAGAAGACGAUUAAAGCCAUGAUGACUAUAUAUGCGCAAAAUUAGAAAAUGAAAAAGAUUGUGUGUGCUUAUCUUGUCUAUUUUGUAAUAUAUGAUUCUAAAAUAAAGGUAUACCAUUUAUAAUAGGAUACGAUUAUGAAAUAUUCAUCAUCGGAACCAACUGCUCAAAGGCUGUAAUUAAGUGCCGAGCAUACGCCUAAAUUUUGCAACCCUCACUGACAAUGGUGACGUCUCCAUAUGAGUGAACAAUUCUUCGGCGGUACGUUAAAUGAUAAUCAAUGAAUCAACCCGUGGGUUCCAACGAUGUCAGAUAUUAAAGAUAUUGACUUUCCCAGCAUACUAAAUGACUUCAAUAUGAACAUCAUUGGUAUGUUACAGUUACAAGCAAGGUCUUCUUAUGAUGUUGAAAUAUAAUUCACAUACCUAUGUUUAAAAAGAUACGUUAAACGAGUGAUCAUGAUGAACGUCCAGACUCUAGAAAACAGAGGCCCUCAAUUGUUUUUAAUCAAAUGCUAAGGUCACGAGUCAAGGUCAAAAUACUUCCUCAUAAGUAACUGUAAAUUGUCAAGUCAUGUAUUAAAAAAUGUUAGUUUAAUAGAUUUCAUACAUGGUACUGGCAUAACAUUUCUUGCACAUACAUAGUAAGCAGAGCUAAUAUUGAACUGCUGGGAGAGAGAGAGAGAGGGGGGGGGGGGGUAAUUCCUCAUGAAUCAAUGAUAAAUUACAAUCUUUAUGUAUCUUAUUUAGUUUAUUUAACUUGAACAAUUCUUAAGAUCAAUGAUUCAAUUUCAAUGUCACACUUAAUUCGAUUGGCAAGGUGAAAAAAUGUACAUGAUAGUUUGAAAUAACCGAAAUAUUCAAAUAUGCAUUUUCUAGAUAUGGUAGUUAUUUUGAUGAAUUCUUAAUAUACAUUUGCAAUUUGUGAUACAUGUACAAUACACAAAUAGAAAUCAUGCACAUUUGAAGAAAAAAAAAGAAAAAAAACCCCAAAAACUAUGCAUUGAUUUAAUUAUCUGUUACAAAUUAAGAGUGUUUAUGAUUGAAGAACAUGCAUGAUGUAUAACAAAAUGAGAUUUACUUGAAAAGAAUGUGAACAUCAAGUUUGCUGUUUUAUGAUAUUUUGUUACUAUAGCAACAAUGUAAUAUGAAUUAUCUAUCAGUAUUAAUAUUUUAUCAACUAUAACAUUGACUUCAGUUGAAUCUGUCUAUAAAGGCAUUUUUUAUUUUGGUCUAAAAAUUUAUUUAUUUUGCAUGGAUUUCGAAUUUGAAAAGAAAUAUCAAUUUUCGUUUCCAUGGCAACCAACAUGAAUUCUCAUAUUACACUUGUUAAAAUUUAAAAUCUAACAUCAGUAGCAAUCGGUUAUUAAGAUUAUAUACUUUGAAUACAUAGAAAAUUGUAUUUUGAAUUACAUUGAAAAAUACAUCUCUGCUGUCAUAUCAUGACGAAAUGCAUCAUUUUGUUUCCAUGGAAACACAGUUAAGAUGGUAGAUUCCCAAACAUGUCUCAUUGUUAUAUGAUAGUACUAUAUCUAAUGUAUGUUGUACAAGCAUUUAUAGAUUUCAAGCUGAAUGCGGGAAUUUUUAUCCAUCAUUCAAAUUUGCCUCUAAAUUAGCUUUUUCAGAAUGUAUCAAACAACCCUCUUUUCCAGACAGAAUGAAAAUAUAACAGAAUUAUUCAAACCUUUAACUAAAUAUCAAACUAAAUAAUAAAAAUGCUAUAUAGUAUCAUUUGAUAAUGAUUAAAUAAGAACUCAAACAGGUUAAUCCAGUGUAGUUGAAUGAAAAAUGUCAUUUUCCAUGCGAAAAUUGACUCUUUUGUGACCUGAAUGGCAUGCACGUGUUACCAUGGCAACAGAGUUGCAUAUAUAGCAACCAAAUUAUGAUGGUUUUACAUUACUUAUGCCAGAUUAAGUCGAUGUGCCAAAUUUGAAAAAAAAUCGGUGACAGUGCGUGCCGGACCCCUUAUAUAAAUGUUUAAGUGGUUACAUAGAAUGGCUCUUAACUAACAUAUAAAAUUUAAUUUACAGAAAAAUAGGCAAAUCUCUGCAUCACCUUUCAAGUUUCCUGUUAAAUGAAUUCUUUGAUGACCAUCCAGAAUUUUUGAUGAAUCGUCUGCUAAGUGAUAUUAAUUCAUUUCUUCCAUUAAUUCUAGAGAGUUUGCAUCAAGGGGGAUAAUAAUUGUGUAAAAUAGUAGGCACCAGUGUAGAGUUCUGAGGGGUUUUACAAAAAAAUAGUAUAUUGUUUAACUGUUUUUAUUUACUAUAUUGGUAGUAUGAAUAGCUGUCUUAAAAACCGCAUGUAGACUUAAUGUCAGCCCUGCUGUGUUUCAGAGAAAAUAGUGUCUGAAAAUUUAAGAAGUCAUAAAUGCUCUUUUUUACCUUAAUUUAUGACUUAUUUUUAAGAAUAAGCAAGAAAAUACAUAUUUUUUUAAACACAAGUACAAUAAUUAAAGUGCUUUCUUGAAUUUCCAUUCACUGUACAUUGUUGGGAAAUUGUUUUAUUAGAAAUAUUUGUGAAAAGAUUAAAAACUCAAUAUCUAAUUAUUUAACUGUGAGCAUGGUCCGUUGCUAUGGAAACACGAUGUAUGGUUCUAGUAAUUUUCACUUUUUUAACAUUUACUAUCACUAUACACAAAAGUGUGAGAGUUAAGAAUGGUUCAGAUUUGUGAUUUUUGCACUUUCCACUUUUUUAAAGACAAUUCUCAAUGGUUACUGACAGCUUCUCUUAACACACCGUCUUAUCAUGGUAUACCCACAUACCAAAUAUCAAAGGCCUAUGUCAAAAGACAAAGUGCCCAGACAAACUUUGUAUGAGAAGCAGCAGAAGAAGAUAUUACACUAAAAAAAUGCCCCCCUUCUGGGAAAGGGAGACAUAAUUACAAAGGUAUGACCAUUUCAGUACCAAAUCAUGAAAUAAAGAAAUGUACAUGCACACACACACACAUGUGAGUAUGAUUCCAUACAUUUGUCACUGAAGAGGCCUAGUAUCAUAUACAUGUACCUUAGUAUGAAUUUCAUAAUGUUUGCAUCAAAUAGAAGUUAUAAGUUAUAUCUUAAAAUCAUCCCAACAGAAUGGAGCAUGAGUGCAUGCACUUGCUGAGCAGUAAUUUUAAUCAGCAAUUUAUAAAGAGUACCAAGACACACCUAAAGCCUGAUCAACAUCAGAAUUUGAUGAAAUUUAAAACAAAAAUGUUAUGGUCCUUUAAAAUUGAAUCUUCAAGAGAUGAUGCACACACAUGCGCAUUGGCAUUUUUUUUAUUACACCGUGCAAUCUAUAUGCAUGCAUAUUAUCUACCUAUAAUGCUGCAAAUAUCAACUCUUUCGCUUUAUUCAUAAGAGUUACAGGCAUUUUAGAGUUAUCCAAUAAAAAAGCACACGUGCAUGUGCGUGUAGAUUGGUAAUUUUGACCAUGCAGAUCAGUUAAGGGUCUCAAUAUCUACCUAGUAAUUAUAUAAAUAUCAAACCAUUUCAAUGAACAACAAAUCAAAGGCCUGAAGCCUCCCGGUUUGAGAGUCAACUCGCACUUGAUAAUGUCAACUAAAACAAUCUUCACGGAGCAAGACAGUAGUAAUCAAGGAUGAAGAACACCGUGUGUGUGUGUGUGUGUGUGUGUGUGUGUGUGUGUGUGUGUGUGUGUGUUUCUUUAGCAGGAUUUAUACUUUAAUGCACCAUGCCUGUGUAAAGUGACUAAAGUUGACUAAGUCAUGACCACUGCCAAAAUUCAAAUUAUAUAUCCAAUAUGGAUGUAAAGAGUCAUUGCUAAUUCAUGAUUGUGCUGAUGUACAAAUGCUAAGAAUUGGGGGAAAGUCAUUAUGUAGUCAUAUAGUACUUUAUAUUACAAUAGAAAAUCCUAAAAUAAGCACCACAGUGGUUGUAAGAAGACACUAUCCAACAAAAAAGUUUAGCAAAUCAAUACCUUGAGCUCAUACAAUGUUACAAUGACUAUGCAGUUGACAUAUGUAAGAAACAUUGCUGUUCUUACUGUACUGACUUUCAAUGAAUAUUUUUUUAAUAUAUUGAACAACUAGACAUAAAAAGCUACUAUCAAAACAAACAAGAAAACAAGGAAUAUUUGUCAAACAUAUAUCCCCAUGUGGUACAAAAUUGAAAAGGGUUAUUUACAUGCAUCACUUAAUUGAUAAUAGUGUCAAACCAAUUCAAGAUCAGGAGUUUAUAAUUUCCCUAUGUCCAAACUGGGCUGACCCUUGGCCUUUAACUUUGUGACCUAAAAAUAAAUAGGGGUUAUCUACUCCAUAGGAUGUACCAGUGUACCACGUUUGGUGUCAAUCAAUUAAGCAACCGAUUCUUGAAAUAUAUAUUAUUAUGUCCAGUUUGACCCUUGACCUUUAACCAUGUAAUCCAAAAUUAAUAGGGGUCAUUUAUUCCUUAUGAUAUACCAGAGUACCAAGUUUGACGUCUGCUAAGGAAAGAGUUCUCAAGAUAUUGAGCGGAGAGUAUAUUUCUAUGUCUAGUUCAACCCUUGACCUUUAACCAUGUGAUCUCAAAAUCAAUAGGAGCAGUCUACUCCCUCGGAUGUACCAGUCUUCUAAGUUUGAUGUCUGUCAAGCAAAGGGUUCUAAGAUAUUGAGUGGACAGCAUAUUCCUAUCUCUGAUUUGACCCUUAACCUUUAACCAUGUGACCUUAGAAUCACUAGGGAUUCAUCUACUCCUUAGGAUGUAUCAGUGUACCAAGUUUGAUGUCUGUCAAGCAAAGGGUCCUCAAGAUAUUGAGUGGACAGUGUAUUACUAUGUCAAGAGUGGAUUGGCCCUUGACCUUUUGACCUGAAAAUCAUUAGGGGUCCUCUUCUACUCAUAACCAACCAACAUAUGAAAUAUAACGAUCAAGUGAAUAGUUCUCAAGAUAUUGAGCGGACAUGUGGUCUACCGACCGACAAGUGCAAAUCAAUAUCCCCCCCCCCCCCAUCCCCCCCCACUCUUCUUCUUUGAAAGGGGUCAUCAGUAAUUGCUCACAGAAUCUCAAAUAUAGUCACAUGAAUUUAGAAAUAUGACAAGAGUUUCCGUACUUCGGAAAAACAUAAAUACUGAAUGUUACAAUGACAUUAAUGGGCUUCUAUACUUUUAUCCUUAAAGAAAAAACACAAUCGGAAUAAAGUAUAAUUAUACUUACUAAUUUUCACCUGUAUGUAACCGAAUAUAAUAUUAUCACCCUCAUGCAUAGCUCUGAUCCUUAGACGAAUUUGACACUUUGGCACUUUGUUUUAGUUCUUACAAGUUUAUUGUUAAUUCAAAUUUCCAAUAUUUCAGCUUGAGCAUCACAAAAGAGACAUCAUUUGUUGAAUUGUGCAUCUGGUGCAUCAAAAUUGGUACCGUAUGUUUUACAUAAUACAAACUUUUUUUUAUAAGGGGCACAUCUACUACAAGUAUAUACCACUAAAGGUUUUUGACUCAGUUUGUUAUAGUCUGUUAUAGUUUUUUUUUAGCGUUAUUUACCUAUUUAAAAGCGCAAAAUUGUAGAAAAAUUUAUGCUCACACCCAGUAACUACUUAUUAUAAAACAACCAAUUAAAAUUCAUCAUGUGCAACUUUUAAACUGCCAUGAUAUUAUGAUUCCGUGACUAGCACAUGUGUUGUGUACACGUGUUUUGUUACUUUUAAGUAAUAGUUCGUCAGUUUUUUCUCUCUGUUGUUGUACUAUUUGCACUGAAUUGACCAAGGUUGUUCUAGAAGGUUAUGUUUACUUUUCAUUGACACCUGUGACCGAAAUUGUUCUAGACUUAAGCUAUUAUUAGUAGAAAGAUUAAGUAAUAGCUUUCACUGGGAACUCAUGGUCUUUCAAGAUUGUACUAGAAAAUUCCUUUCUAUUAUAUACACACUGAAAUUCUUUUGAUAAAAAGCUCUGGUUAGACACUUUUUAUUCAUUUGUAUUUCACUUGGAACUACGAUUUUGGAUUAUUAUUUUUGUGUGUUUGGAUUUAUUGCUCAACUACCGCAAGUUAAUAUUUUGCUAUUGUAAAAAUUUUCUUUCAAUUAUUAAUUGUAAAUAAAUCUUAUUAAUUGUUUAAUUGCCUUUUGCUAGUAAAUUGUGCUGCGCUAUAUUAAGGGUUUGUUUUAACCCAUAACACUGGAUUUCUGCAUGCUGCACAAUUUUUAUGGGUCUGGGAAUAUUUGAAUACUUUUAAGCUUUUAAUUAAAUUAUUUCCUUUUGCAGUAAACGACUGAUGUAAUUACCCAUCUAAAUGUGACGAAAUUUUGGAGGUUGAUUGAAUUCUUCAUUUAGUACAUAUUGAAUUACUGGCUUUGAUUAUGAUUAUGUUUAUAACAAGACAUGCUUAUAAUCUCCCAAACGAGAUACUGGCUGUAUAAAAGUGGCUUUUUCUGAGUACUGAGUACUACUAAUUUCCUCCUUUGACAAAAUUCAUGCCAAUUUUAACUUCAUUUAAAAAAUCUAGAUCACAAAGACUUUGAUCUUGAUUUUUUUUUUUUAAAUCCCUUUUUUCCUUCAGUAAAACUGGUGUCACUUGACCUUGAUGCUAGGUUUGUAGGUCCCAACAUCCUCUUAUCAUUUUUGAUGAUCCAAUGUCUUUAUCAGUCCAGGUUCUAAAGUUAUACAAGUUUUUAUAAUCAAGGUCAAAGGUCAAUGGAGAUACUACUUUGUAGGUCACUACACCCUUUUUGAAGAGUCCAUGUCUCUAGCAGUCCCAGUUCUAAAGUUAUAAAAGACUUAUGUUUGAGGUCAGAGGUCAAGGUCACUGCUGUCACUUGACCUUGAUACCAAUUUGUAGAUCUCAUCACCCUUUUGUCAUUUCUAAAGAUUCCAUCUCUUUAUCAGACCUAAUUCUUAAGUAAUACCAAGUUUAUGAUCUAAGGUCAGAGGUCAGGGUCACUGGAGUCACUUAACCUCGAUACUAGUUUGUAGACUUAUGUUUGAGGUCAGAGGUCAAGGUCACCGCAGUAACUUGACCUUGGUACCAAUUUGUAUAUUUCAUCUCCCUUUUAUCAUUUCUGAAGAUUCCAUCUCUUUAUCAGACCUAGUUUUUCAGUAAUACCAAGUUUAUGAUAAAAGGUCAGAGGUCAGGGUCACUGGAGUCACUUAACCUUGAUACUAGUUUGUAGAUCUUAUCAUCCUCUUAUCAUUUCAGAAGAUACAAUGUAUCUAUCAAUUCCAGUUCUAAAAUCAUAUGACUUUGUAUGUUCAAGGUCAGAAGUCAAGGUCAUUGGAAUCACUUGACAUUGAUAUUGAUUCGUAUAUCUCAUCAUCCUUUCAUCGUUUCUGAAGAUCCCAUAUCUCUAUCAGACCUGGGGUGCAUUUUACAAAAGAACUUAUGACUUAAUACCAAAUUUUACAUGCUGGAAUUCUCCCGUUUAUUGUAAGAUAAUCCACUCCAAUGUAAAAUAGUGAAGAAAUAAUGUUGAAAAUUAAGUCUCAGGAAUGUUUUAAUUCCUUCUUUUAAACUAAUAACUGUGUAAUACAAUCUAAAACAAGCGAAUUUGUCUUAUUAAGUUCUUUUGUAAAACAGGUGCUUGGUUCUUUAAGUUAUACCAAUUCUCUGUUCUAAGGUCAAGGUCACUGAAAUCACUUGACCUUGAUACUAGAUUGCAGAUCUUAUUAUCUUCUUAUCAUCUAUGAAGGUCCCAUAUGUGUCUAUCAAUUCCAUGCAGUUUUAAAAUUAUAUAAGUCUGUAUGUUACACGUAAGAGGUCUUUAAGUCACUAGAGCCACUUGAACUUGUUACCAGUUUGUAAAUCCCAUCAUCCUUUCAUCAUUUCUGAAGACCCCAUGUCUCUAUCAGACCUGGUUCUUAAGUAAUACCAAUUUCAUGUUCUAAUGUCAGAGAGUCAUUGGAGUCACUUGACCUUGAUACUAGUUUGUAGGUCCUGUCAUCCUCUUGUCAUUUCUGUAGAUUCCAUGUCACUAACAGUCCCAGUUUUUAAGUUAUACCAGUUUUUAUGUUCAUUGGAUUCGCUUAACCUUGAUACUAAUUUGUAGGCCCUGUCACUCUCUAUUCAAUUCUGAAGACCCUAGGACUUCAUCUAUCAUAUUUGUCAAGCUAUAUCUGCUGAAUUUUGGAAUUAUUUCCCCCCAUAGAGUUCUAUGUUAAACCACAAACCCAUUUGGUCCAAUCAAAAUGUAUCCUAACCCCCUUCAAUCUGAAAACAAAACAUUUCUGUACAUCUAGAUACAUUGACCUAUCAUAUCCUUGAAUACUAAUUACUUUCAUCUACUGGUUGCAGAGAACGGUGUCGGACAGUUUUAGGUGCAAGAAAGAGGCGAAAGAAGAAGAAUAAGAACUGAGCAAAAACAAGAAGUUUCCAAACGUUGUUUGGGAGACUUAAUUACCAAGAAGAUAAAUGAAUAUAUCGCACAUUGGUACGUCAUUUUUCGCAGCUUUGGUGGUGUUUUCAUUACUACACACUCGUUCAAUUCUAAUACCAUAAGCUAUUGAAGUUUAAACAAAGACAAUAUCCAGUCUGUUCAAAUUUGCUCAAAUUAACCUUAUUUCCCAGAAAAUAUUCAGUAAAGAUUAUACCGCUAUGUAGUAUGUAUAAGGACAAGAUUUUACCGUUUUCUUUAUCUAAGCUAAUUCUAAUGUUCAGCAACAAUAUAAAACAAGAUGCGUUCUUAAAACCUCAAUGCCCUCAAAGUGCAUACACUAAUGAAAGGCUUUAAAUAAUAGGUGUAUUAACAUUAAAACAUCAAAAGAUAUGACUAAUUUGGACUCAUCCUAAAGUCAUAACCCUGGGUUAUGAAAUUCACCAUUUUUUGUACAUCCUUUUCUGUUAUUCCUAAGUAUGCAUUUAUUUUAUACAGACGUAUAAGCAAACUUACACAUCAAUAAAAUAUACUAAGUUUGUCCCCACCCUGGGGUCAGAACCCUUACUCUGGGGAUCAUCAAAUUUACAAUUUUGGUAGAGGCCUUCCUGCUACACGUGUACGAUUUUUGAGAAGAAAUUUUUUUGAAAAUUGGUCAAUUUUGGGCAGUUCUUGCCUGGCCCCUAAGGCCCAAGGGGUGCAGGAAUCCUGAAAUUUACACUUUAUGUCCCCCUUGUUCCAAAGAUGCUUCAUAACAAAUAUGAAAAGAAUUGGAAACAUAGUUAUCAGGAUGAAGUUAAAAAUGUAUACUAGCGGAAAAAAGAAACUGCGUUAUUUAAUAUAUGAAAAAAUAAUAAAAAAUAACAAUGAACAAAUUUUAUUUUUUUCUAAUACUGUUAACAAAUGUAUUUGUUACAACAUUUCAUAAUCCAUUAAUGUUAACGUCGAAUAACGUCAAUUUCAGCACACAUGAAAGACACUGGUAUUCGAACUUGAAUUAACAAAGUUAAUAACGCGUGUGACCACCAUUUGCAUUCGCGCAUGCUUGACAACAGCUCCUCAUUGAUGCCACUAAAAUUUUCAGAAAUGCUUGAGGGAUGUUGUUCCAGAUGUUGGUUAAAACCUGGACUAAAUCAGCCAAUGUCACUGGCUGAUUUGGUAAACGGCGUAGACGUCAUUCCUUUUCAUCCCAGACGUGCUCGAUCGGCGAUAAAUCGGGGGAAACAGCUGGCCAAGACAUCAACAUUCUGUUGAACAAAAAAGUCCCUGACUACACGUGCAACAUGUGACCUUGCAUUGUCUUGCUGCAGAGUGAUGUGAUUUUGCUGUCUCUCUAUGAAGGGUAUCACAUGGCGCUGAAUAAUUUCAUCUCGAUAGCGUACGCCGGUGAGAUUUCCAUUGACAAUUUCUAGAGGGGUCCUUCCACGUGCUGUUAUUCCACCCCACACCAUAACGCUACCUCCACCGAAUUGUCGACGUUGCACAACACAAGCAUCCUGGUACCGCUCCCCAACACGACGAUACACUCUACAACGGCCGUCUCUGCUAUCCAAAUGAAAUCUGGAUUCAUCAGUGAACAGAAUAUUGGCCCAGUCCUGUAUUCUGAAUCGCAGAUGUCGUCUGCACCAUGCUAGUCUAGCGAUAGAAUGACGUUGAAGCAGUAUUGGGCGCACCGCUGGACGUCUUGGUCUGAUGUUGUGCUCGCGCAGACGAUUACGCAGUUCUUGGACUAAUUGGUCGAAGUCCAGGAAUGCUACGAGCAGUCAAACUUGCUGUCUGGAAACGAUUUCUCAGUUGCACAAGUCGAAUGUGGUUGUCCUGUCAACGCGACGUCAGACUUGGUGUUCCGAUGAACUCCAAAGUGUCUUGCAACGAUAUUUUGUGCCAUUCCAGCUUGAAGCAUCCCAACAGCACGAUUACGUUGGUUUUCGCUGAGUCGUGGCAUGACAGAAGGGUAAAUUUUGUCAAAACUAAAGUGCUUUCCUUAACGAAUAGUGUCCAAACAAACCUUUUACACUUCUUACUCCAAACAGUAUUGGUCAGUAAAACUCGUGCGUACGAACACUUCAAUAAACAACAUGUGUUCAAUAACCAUGAAAAAGUCCGUACAUCUGAGUCGGGUACUAUCCGAUAUUGUUCAAAACAUCACCUUUAUCGAUUGCUUAGAUUUUAUAAAUAUAAACAAUAAAUAUAGAAAAAUUAUACUAAAUUUUAUAAUGCGCAGUUUCUUUUUUCCGCAAGUAUAUAUCAUGAUUGUAUAUUGUUCACACAUUUAAUAACUGCACCAUUUUGGACCCACCCCGAUACCAAAACCCCUACCCCUGGGAUCAUCAAAUUUACAAUUUUGGUAAAGGACUACCUGCUCAUUCUAAAUAUUUAUUUAGUUUCAAUAUAGUAUCAACAGCACUAAAAAGAUGUUAUUUAGGUGUUUUACACAUAAACAAUAUAUACCAAGUUUGGCCCCGCCCUGGGUUCAGAACCCCUACCCCAGGGAUCAUGAAAUUUACAAUUUUGGUAGAGGCAGGCUUUCAAGUGACAUUUUGCAAAAAAUAAGGGCCAUUUUUAGGGCAAAAAUUAUCAAACAAUAAGGGCCUUUUUAGGAUGUUUAAGGGCUUUUUAGACAAAAAUAAGGGCUAAAUUUACAAAUCAAUAGGAAAGAAAAAAUGUUUUACUCACCAUUUGCAAGAGCAAUAAUACAAAAACUAAUUACCCACUCAGAAGAUCAUACCAGUAGUCAUCAACAGCCAUAUUCGGCAUUCAGCACAAACUAUGAUAUAAUUCAGGUGAACUCCCAUGGCUCACAAUCAAUGCUGAAUAUAGCUGAUAACCAUCAAGAUGUCUUCUGAGAUGUACAUUUAAUCAACAUAUUCAUUUUCUGAAAGUAUACUAAGACAAAAUUUAAUAAAUUCCAACACUUACUUUAUGUCAAAUUUAUUUAAACUUUCAAAAUUUGAAAAUGUAGGAAUUUCAACCAAAAAUUUGGGCUUUUUAGGAUUCUAAAGCUCAAAUAAGGAAAAUAAGGGCUGUUGUAGAAAAAUAAGGAAAAUAAGGGCCCGCUUGAAAGCCUGUAGAGGCCUUCCUGCUCUCCAUCACCAUGCAUUUAGUUUUUCUUACACAUGUGCGGUUCUUGAGAAGAUUUUUGAAAAUUGGUCCAUUUUGGGCAGUUUUUGCCCCACCCCUAAGGCCCUAGGGGUGCUAGAAACCUGAAAUUUACAAUUUAUGUCCCCCUUGUCCCAAAGAUGCUUCAUACCAAAUAUGAAAAGAAUUGGACUGGUAGUUAUCAAGAAGUUAAAAAUGUUCAAUUGUUAACGCACGACGGACGACGGACAACACAUGACGACGGACGACACCCGAUUGCAAUAGGUCACCUGAGUUUACUGAGGUGACCUAAAAUACAGAAAUUAGAUAUAUCUUAUGAACGGAAGUGAAUUUUGAAAAAAUAUUUAAUGGUACUCUAGAGAUGGAUAAUGUCAAUAAUAUCUGUGAAAAUCGUAUCAAAAAACUUGAUUCAUAAGCGAAAUAUGUCGAUGUUUUUCUCUACAAACAGGAAGUUGCUGUUUAAACUUCCGGUAAGUCUAACAUUUUCUGAAACUCUGAAAGACACUUAAUUAUAAUUAUUCCAAGGAAGUUUGGUUUCAAAAGCAUGAAAUUCAUGCUUUUCAAUUUGAAAUGACGACCACAUGUGAUGAAUGACAGUGAUAAACCUUAUUACAGAGCUACAAGUCAACAUCUGUCAUCCCUGAGAGUUUCAAGACUCAAUCUAUCACCGUUUAUGAGAAAACACCUGCAGAAAAUGUCAUUUGAAAAAUGGAAAUUCAGUCGUAACCCACAAACGUGAACUGAAAUGGGCAAAAAUGAAAAAAAAAUCUGUUUUAGUUCAUGUUUUGUGGCAUGUUUGCUGAAAGUUUCAUAAAAAUCUAUCCAGCCGUUUUUGAGAAAUCGCGUGAAAAAGAACAAUAAUGAUAAAAGAGGAAAAGAAAUACAAGUAUCAAUAUAAGGUACGUCUUCCGUUGAGACAGAAGACCCGAAUAAUAAUAAUAAACCGUAGAAUCAUAAGAACCGAGCAAAAACCCAAUAAGUCUCCAAACUUUGUUUGGGAGACUUAAUAAUAGACCUUAAUAAUGAUAAAUCUAUAUCAAAAUGGGAAGAAACAGAAGGGUUUUCAGAGCUAGAAUGGAAAAGUAUAUUUGAACUUCCUUUUAAAACAACUCAAGAAUCUAAAUUGCAAUGGUUACAGUUUCAAAUCUUACACAGAAUAUUUCCAUGCAACUAUUAUUUACAUAAACUUAGAAUUGUUGAUUCCCCAAUUUGCACAUUUUGCAAGAGGGAUUUUGAAACUAUUGAUCACAUAUUUGUAGAAUGUCCAUGUGUGAAAGAGAUCUGGUACGGAAUUGAAUAAUGGCUUUGCGAAAAACUGGACAGGCAUAUUAGUUUUGAUAGACAAGCAAUUCUUUUUGGAAAAUUUGCUAAUAAGAAUGUACACAAGGUGGAAAAUUUGAUAAUUCUGAUGAUAAAGCAAUAUAUUUAUAUUAGUAAAUUCUCAAGUAUAAGCAAAUUAAGUAUAGAUGCAUCCAAAAAAAUUAUCAUUGAUAGAAUUACAGUUGAAAAACUUUUGUUGUUGAAAAACUGCAGGUAUAGGGAGUUUGAGAGAUACUGGCAAAAUAUUUAUAAUAAAUUAUGAUUGUAUUAAAGAGUUGGGGUUUUUUAAACCUAAGAUUGUGUUCCAUGCCCCCUUUGUUUUAUAUGUUCUUUCUUUCUUUCUCUCUUUCUCCUUCUUUAUAUUUAUGAAAAUGUCUUUUGCAUAUGAAUAUUGAUGAUAUUAUUGUGUAGUUAAAUUACAUAUAUGUAUAUUAUGUAAAUGUCAAAUAAAAAUCAAACAAUAAAAAAAAAAAGACC
Ostrea edulis (European flat oyster) is the source of this 13443-nucleotide long non-coding RNA. RefSeq lists it as uncharacterized. NCBI's taxonomy places the organism in Eukaryota, Metazoa, Mollusca, Bivalvia, Ostreida, Ostreidae. The transcript is spliced from 2 exons. The record is from RefSeq and is a predicted model, not a curated record.